RNAcentral lists this ribosomal RNA (551 nucleotides) under uncultured archaeon. Its description in RNAcentral is "bacterial SSU rRNA". It matches the Rfam family "Archaeal small subunit ribosomal RNA", at positions 326 to 879 of the family's 1478-position model. The record is from RNAcentral.
CGGGGUGCACCAGGCGCGAAAACUUUGCAAUACACGAAAGUGUGACAGGGUCAUCCCGAGUGCCGACCGCUGAGGUUGGCUUUUACCCAGUCUAGAAAGCUGGGGGAAUAAGGAGAGGGCAAGUCUGGUGUCAGCCGCCGCGGUAAUACCAGCUCUCCGAGUGGUGUGGACGUUUAUUGGGCCUAAAGCAUCCGUAGCUGGCUGAACAAGUCCCCUGUUAAACCCACCGAUUUAAUCGUUGGUCUGCGGGGGAUACUGCUCGGCUAGGGGACGAGAGAGGCAGACGGUAUUCCCGGGGUAGGGGUGAAAUCCUAUAAUCCCGAGAAGACCACCAGUGGCGAAGGCUGUCUGCUAGAACGCGCCCGACGGUGAGGGAUGAAAGCUGGGGGAGCGAACCGGAUUAGAUACCCGGGUAGUCCCAGCUGUAAACGAUGCAGACUAGGUGUUUGGACGGCCACGUGCCGUUCUAGUGCCGCAGGGAAGCUGUUAAGUCUGCCGCCUGGGGAGUACGAUCGCAAGAUUGAAACUUAAAGGAAUUGGCGGGGGAGCAC